GUAGUAACAGGAAAUUAAACAGUAAUUGAAACCCCCUCCUCAAACAAAUGUACCUCAUGACCUGUAUUAUGCUGAGGUACAAUUUUUUUGGUGAAAAAAAUAUAGAAUGCUGGAAGUGUUUCGAUGUGCUAUUGGAAAAUCCUUUGAAAAAAAAUGGGUAGGGUUCACCAGGACACGGCUUAGGUAGCACUUCACAGAAAAUAUAGUUACAAUUGAGCCACAGAAUGUUGAAUAACCUUCCAACCCUGGCCUUCUAAUACGUUAGGCCAACUGUUAGUGUCAUACAUGCAAAACUACAGACCUAUCUACGGAGUGCUACCAUACUCACAUGCUCCCGAUACUAGUAUGUUGAAGAAGUAAUGAAAUUAAUAGAACCAGAGCCGGAUUUAGUGGGGAAUGGCGUUGAUGAGAGUUUUUAAUAGUCUUGAUUUGAUUGAUUGAUAUACAUGGAAGUUUUUAACGACACUGACUCAAUGACUGGCUAUACAACACAUAGAAGUUUUUGACGACAUUGACUGCCUAAACAGCCCUUUGAGUUUCUCAGUCGGCUAUAAAGGGGGAAUGACACGGUGUCCGCCCCCUUUUGUUGAAAAAUAAAUAUUGAUUAUAUAGGGAAUCACUUGAGAAUGACUGGAGCUGGUCCUCUCAUGACAUUAUCAGUUAGUCUCCCCUCUCCUUAUAUAUAAAAAAAUCUGGAUCUGCCACUGAGAAACAAGUUUAAUAAAUUAAAAAAAAGAAUGUGUCACUAGUAUACACGGAUGCCCAAUCCGCACUAUCAUUUUCUAUGUUUAACAGACCAGGGACUUUCUUUACUUAGUAUAGAAAGUCCCUGAGUGGACUGAGGAAAUGAGGUAAUUCUAAUUUGGCAUUAAAUUUAGAAAGAUCAUAUCAUUGUGAACAUGUGUACUAAGUUUAAAAUUGAUUGGAUAUCAACUUCAUCAAACACUACCUCGACCAAAAACUUCAACCUGAAGCGGGACAGACGGACGAACGAACAAACGAACAGACAGACCAG
This 1015-nucleotide long non-coding RNA is filed under the name Mytilus galloprovincialis (Mediterranean mussel). The record is from RNAcentral. Lineage: Eukaryota; Metazoa; Mollusca; Bivalvia; Mytilida; Mytilidae.